Condylura cristata (star-nosed mole) is the source of this 3964-nucleotide RNA transcript. It is a transcript of the gene named HemK methyltransferase family member 1, with no coding region annotated. Lineage: Eukaryota; Metazoa; Chordata; Mammalia; Eulipotyphla; Talpidae. The transcript is spliced from 12 exons. The record is from RefSeq and is a predicted model, not a curated record.
CGGAGGUGGUUCACGCACGUCCGGGAGCCUAGAGCUGGCAUUUUCUCCUGGCCAUCGGCCGGGUAGGGCAACCUCUCAGGCAGUUAUACCUGAGGACCAGACCCAGUGACCUCUCCAGCUCCACCUGGCUGGAGCAGGUGACCAUUGUCGUGCUGACAUAAGGAGGACUUGGAGACCUGGAGUACUAAGGGGAGCCACCCCCUGAAAUAUGGAGCUGUGGGGCCAAAUGUUACGGGUUCUCCUGUCUGGCCCAGGGAGGAGGGGAAUCACCCAGGGCUGGGCCUUCAGCUCAUGGUUACCCCAUCUGCCUCUGCCUGGGUUGUCAAAUGCCACAGAGCUGGUCAGCCACUGGACAGCAGUCUUUGAGAAGAGGGGCAUCCCUGAGGCCCAGGAAUCUAGUGAGUACAUCGUGGCUCAUGUCCUUGGAGCUAAAACAUUUCAGGGCCUAAAGCCAGUAUUUCGGACCCAGCCCUUGACCCCGAGGCAGCUUCAGCAGAUCCAAGAGCUGAGUAACCGCCGAUUGCAAAGGAUGCCUGUGCAGUACAUACUCGGGGAGUGGGACUUUCAGGGGCUCAGUCUGAAGAUGGUGCCCCCAGUGUUCAUCCCUCGGCCAGAAACAGAGGAGCUGGUUGAAUGGGUGCUGGAGGAGGCGACACAGGGGUCCUGUGAGGUGGGAGCCCAAGGCGGGCCCCUUAUCCUGGAAGUAGGCUGUGGGUCGGGAGCCAUCUCCCUCAGCCUGCUGAGCCAGCUCCCCCAGAGCCGAGUCAUUGCAGUGGAUAAAGAAGAAGCUGCCAUCUGCCUGACUCAUGAGAAUGCUCAGAGGCUGUGCCUGCAGGACAGGAUUCGGAUUGUCCCCCUUGAUGUGACCUUAGAGGGGAGCUGCACACACCUUCUGCCUUGGGGGCCAAUGGACCUGGUUGUCAGCAACCCUCCCUAUGUCUUCCAACGGGACAUGGAGCAGCUGGCCCCUGAGAUUCGGAGCUAUGAAGAUCCAGGAGCCUUAGAUGGUGGAGAGGAGGGCAUGGACAUCAUUACCCACAUCCUGACCCUGGCACCUCAGCUGCUGAAGGACUCUGGAAGCAUCUUCUUAGAAGUGGACCCAAGACACCCAGAACUUGUUGGCAAGUGGCUCCAGAGCCGGACUGACUUGUCCCUCAAUCUCGUGGCUGUGCGUAAGGACUUCUGUGGGAGGCCUCGGUUCCUGCAUAUCCGGAGGUCUGAGCCACAGCGUGACUUCCCUGUGGACGUCUGGCCGGGGCCCCAGCCUGCCAGAGAGUCUGGCUGACACUUCUUCCUGGAAUGCUACUUGGAGGGAGGUGGAUGGUGCCUCAUAGAACCCCAGAUGCUUGCAGUAUUUCCUAUGGCUUUGUGAUUCGCCAAGCUUUACAUUACAAGGAUACUUGGGGGUAGAAGCAACAGAGAGUUCCUUCCUAAGGCAGCAAAGAGCAAGGACACUCAUAGUCCAGCUCAGGAGCUAAGUCGACCCAGCUUCUCAGUCUAGUUCUGUCAUGCUGGUUCCGCCCAGGACAGUGGCGCAGCCUUGGUGGGUUGAUUUGUUCUGGUGACAUUGGGAGUUAUGGCUAAUAAAGCAUCAAGAGACCUACAAGUAGUGACCUGUUAGGAUGAUUUGUGUGUCCCGUGUCUUCUCACACCAAGGCUGUGCUGGGGGUAGGAGCUCCCUUUUGUCCCAGCUAGCCAUCAGGCCCAAGGUCACAUUCUGGUGAGGGCCUGAGGCUGAGAUCUGACACAGGCUGGUGUGACUCCAGCAUUGUAGCUCAAAUUCAAGGCCCAACCAAGCCAGUGGCUGCAGACUUGAGGCCCUGCCCAGCUAGUCUACUUGGCCCUGACUUCUUCCCCCAGGGGAGCCAAGUCUCACAUUUUUCUGGGAAUGAAGUUGUCUCCAAAACCUGCUCCAGUGACCCCAGCCGCCCCUGCAUGGUCACUUUCCAUCAUUAUGCUCCAUGCGGUGCCAUAACCACACGCUUGCCAAGGUCUUUCCUCAGUAAUGGGCCUGAGGCCAGAAGAGUGGGCCUGUCAGGGAAACUGGUACUGGCUGAAGUAUGGCCCAGGUUGUGGGACAAGGGGCCAGAAGACCCCUAAUUGAUUCUGGCCACUGCUUUGAGAUGUCUCUGAAGAGGGGCAGUAGGCUAAAAGGUCUGAGCUCAGAAGGCUACCCACUCUGCCCUCCAGAUUCCUUCUGGCAUAGCCACGAGGAGACCUGGGGCAACUUGGGGUCCAUGCAGCUGGAGCAGGUUAAAGGACCACGCUGUCUCUGGCCACUGCACUACCACAUCAGAGCCUUGAAAGUUCCAAGAUGGGGGAAGAAAAGACUAACGAAAAGAGCCAGCCUCAGCUGGCAUGUUGCUCAGGACCCACCCUGAUACUGCCUCACCUAGCACCUGCCAACCUGGAUGUUUCCUGUUGUUAUGGACAGAAGGACUGGGCCUUCAGGCCUCCAGGCGGCCACGAGUCUGAGUAGCUCAGAGCUGGCAUGGACGUCACAACCUGGUGUCCACUCUGUCUCAGCUUCUCACUCUCCCCAGGGACAGAUGGGUUAUCUGAAACCCCAAGGUCAACCUGGCUAAAAGUUAUGGGGAUAAAAAGUAAACUCGCCCUUCUCUGCUCACUUCACUGGUUUAAACCUUCAGUUAAAUGAAUGUGACAUGUGACCCCAGAAUUGUGCAGAAAAGACCCUCAGUCCCAUCCCCUCCCAAAGGCAGACCGUCAUCCUGAGCUGAAACUCAGAUGCAGCUCCCCUGCUCAGAGCCGGGGCCCAGCCUGGGAAGUGUGUGGGAGGGCCAGGCCCCUAGCCCCGGAAGCCUGGAGCAGCCGCUGCUUGCCUUCCUCUGCCUGGCCUCCCCGCCACAGCCUUGACUUCCCAGCCGGACAAAGGGAAACACGUGUUUGUGCUUAACAGGGUGUUCGUGGUUGUGAGGCGCCUGUGGGAUGCACCUUUCAUGGGGCAGGGUAUUUUCAUUACCUGCCUCACAGGGCAGACGUAGGGAGGGCACUGUACCCUUAUGGGCCUGUCUGGUGCUUGGCUCCAUCACACGCAGGCAGAAGCAUAGCAGUCUGGGAUGGAGGGAAGGCAGGGAUUCCAUCUUGGGCUCUUAACUUCUCGCUGCCCUCUGGAGAUGGAGCCUCCAAGAGGCCGGUAGCCAGGCAGCGACUCAUCUCCUCUCAGCCCCUCCCCCUCGCCAGGGUCUGAGUGCCCUAAAUGCCAGUCCAUAGCAGCAGGCAUUUCAGCCUAGGGAAAGCCAGGCUCACCUGCCCUAUCUGCCAUCCCUGGGGCUGGGACCAGACAAAAGCUUCCUCCUGUAGCAGGUGUCGUGGAGCCCUGCAGGCAGAAGGGCAGGAGAACUGGAGCUGAUGGUGGAUCCGGCCUCUGCAGCCCCUACGGCCUGGAGCGAUGUGCCUACUGCCCACCAGCCUCCUUCAGCCCAGCUCAGCAUGGCCAGCGGAGUCCCGAUCUGACCAGCUAAGGGAAGAUGGCAAUGGAAGAGGAUCUGGAGACCCUCCCAAGGCCCCAUUUGUGCUCUGAGUAAGCUUCCAUCGGUGCAAAAGUUUUCACCGCUGACAAGCUAUGAGAUCUGCUGACCUUCAGUGAGGAACCCUGUUAAGCUCCGCAGGCCAGCAUGUCCUUUUCCAUCCACCUUUGGAUUCUUUCCUCCACUGCCCUGGACUCUAGCCUCCCUGUGGAGUGCAUUCCCUAAACACUCCUCUCCUUUCCCCCAGAAGUGGGGAUGCCCUUGCCUACCACUGCCAGUCCAAAUCACAUUCCCCUUCAAACUCCAAAGGCUGCCUCCUCUAAAACACCCAGCCUGACCUCUGUUCUCUCCACCCGCCCCUUGCCCAUACUUCUGCCAGCACCCAUGGCAUUUUGCCCCAUGCAUUUGGAAACCUCCCUGUCUCCUUCAUCUCUCUAGGGCCCCAUGUGGCUCUGGCAUACCACUCAGUAAAUGUC